AAAGAUACAGCGGUGUUGUGGUGGGGGGGCGGUUGGACAAAAGCCAUGCUUUCUUGGAACUCAGUGUCCAUUUGGGAGAGAGAGAGACAAAGAAUAAAUGGAAGUGAGCCCGACCGGGACGCCGGUGGUGGGCCGGAAGUGCUAAGGAGUGAAUGGCAUUUCUUGGGAGAGACCCUCAACCAGUGGCGGAGUGGAGCUGGAGCACACUGGAGAUGUGUGUCUACUCUCGUUUCCAGUGGGAUCAAAGUCCACACUCACAGCCGUAACCUUCCCGUUACUGGUGUCCUUUGUGUUGCCCUUUUACUUCCUCACUUGCCUUAGGGUGUUUCUGGGGAUCACACAAAUACAUUCUCUGCACUGAAUCCUUACCUCAAGCUCUGCUUCUGGGGGAACCACCAUGACCAGCUUGUUCUGAUUUUCCUGGGAUUGUUCCAAUUUUAAAAAGUCAAAGUCCCAUAUCCCAAGACUGUCCCGCACCUCAGCACCAGACAGACAGGGAUGAUGGGUCACCGGAGGGGGGAGUCCCAAACCAAGACAGAUGUGAGCACACUGAGCAAGGCAAACAGACCACUGAACCACUAGUUUGAAAGCCAAGUAGACACAAGUAGCAUUUUGUCAAAAUGAGAACAAAAGAGCAGACACAAGUAUCAUUUUGUCAUAUCAGGUUCAUUAGUUGUUACGAGCUAAAAACACUUCUAAGAGAACAGUAGCCACCAAUGACAAAUAAGCCAUUCCUUUGAAACCAGACAUGGUCAUACAGCCCCCGGGUGUGGUUUGCUAAUUGUUGGUGGAUAGAAGACAGCUGCCAUCCAGGACUCCCGCAGGGUCCAUGGGACUGGCCACUGGAAAAAGGCAGCGGGUAUUCUAAGAACAGCAAGUGUCACAGGCACUGUAGGGACAUUAUAGGUGAGCAGGCAAGGGAACAGUGCAGCAUGUUGUAGGCACUUAAGGCUCCGAGGGGGACAAGCACCGGCCAUGCCGGUUGAGCCAAAGCCACCAGGACAAAUAGUGAAACUAUACUGGGUGUGUCGCUACGUUCGACCGCAUGGAGCCAAGGUGCUUUGCCAUGGGAAGCAGCUGUAAGCUCAAGGCAGCUGGCCACAAGCCAAGGUUUGCAGCAUGAACAGGAGGAAUCCCACUUUGUCAGGUGAUCUGGGAGGCAGUUUGGAGGUCAACUUCAGCAGGCGGGGGUGGGGGUGGUGGGUGGUGGUAAACACGCAGGUCAGGGAGCUCCAUGGUAGGGAGUGCUAGGGAGCCUGGCUGGGAGAUGCUGCCAAGGUCCUGACUUUAGGGACCUGUCUCUGCAGAUCAGAUGUUCCAGCUGUGAAAUACCACAUAUAUCCCCUGCCCUGCUUAUUUUUAUAUGACGUUGGGGGACAUGCUCCCGCUGAGGGAUGCACCCAUGGUGGUGGGGGGUUGAUCUCCCUCGUCCCUGCUAGAUUGGUG
Molecule: long non-coding RNA, 1446 nt
Organism: Mustela erminea (ermine)
Lineage: Eukaryota; Metazoa; Chordata; Mammalia; Carnivora; Mustelidae
Exons: 2
Source: RefSeq, a predicted model, not a curated record